GGGGUUGUGGCUCAGCAGUAGAGCACUUGCCUGGCACGUGGGGGGCCCUGGGUUCGAUUCUCAGCACCA
RNAcentral lists this transfer RNA (69 nucleotides) under Marmota marmota marmota (Alpine marmot). It matches the Rfam family "tRNA". Rfam says of the family: Transfer RNA (tRNA) molecules are approximately 80 nucleotides in length. RNAcentral also lists the same sequence under 1 other name. The record is from Rfam by way of RNAcentral. Lineage: Eukaryota; Metazoa; Chordata; Mammalia; Rodentia; Sciuridae.